UUACGGCCAUAUCAUGUUGAAACACUGGUUCUUGUACGAUCACUGAAGUUAAGCAACAUUGAGCCUGAUCAGUACCUAGAUGGGUGACUCCUUGGGUAUACCAGGUGCUGUAAG
Acanthosepion pharaonis is the source of this 114-nucleotide non-coding RNA. The record is from the annotation of a GenBank genome assembly. Lineage: Eukaryota; Metazoa; Mollusca; Cephalopoda; Sepiida; Sepiidae.